This 67-nucleotide transfer RNA is filed under the name Nepa hoffmanni. RNAcentral's name for it is "tRNA-Pro". Lineage: Eukaryota; Metazoa; Arthropoda; Insecta; Hemiptera; Nepidae. The record is from RNAcentral.
CAGUAAAUAGUUUAAUUUAAAAUUCUAGUUUUGGAGGCUUGAGAUGAGUAUUAUUGCUUUUUACUGA